AUGUAGAUAAAAAACAAAUUAGUAAAAAAAAUAAAAAUAACUAAAUUUUUACCUUUUUUAUAUUUGCAUACUAUGUAUAUAUUAUUAAUGUUGUAAAUACAAAUAUGUAUAUAUCUAGAAAGGGUGGUCCUAAAGAGGGAGGCAUUCUUCAGGGGUCUCAAGAAGGUCACAAAUACACAAAUGUGUGUGUUUACCGCAGGAUGCGGCCGAUGCUGGUCUCGGCCAGGAGCAGGAAGUUCUCGUCGGGCGAGAGCGCGAUGCCGUUGGGCAUGUAGAGAGAAUCCAGCAGGACGCUCACUUCUCCAGUGUGAGGAUCGUAGGAGAGAAGACGGCCGAGGUUGUUCAGCUCGAUGACCUGGGAAGAAGACAUGACAUGCGACUGGAAGAGUCGGUGAAAUAAACCAUCCCCGUCUGGGAGGAGAUGUCCAGGCCGUUUAGGAAGGCGAAAGGAACACCAGCAGCGCCUAAAAACAAACAAAACCUUCUUUUUCACCACCAUUUCCAGGAUAUUUCACAACUUUUUUACUGAGAUACAAAAAAAAGUGACACCCACCCUCUGAGUUGGACACCAACACCGUCUUCUCUCCGGUAUGCGGGUCAACGCUGUGCAGUCCCAAGUAGGAGUCGGCCACGAUGAGGUUACCAUGGCGAUCCAGACGCAAGCCGUGAGGACGACCACACACCGGCUCGUAGGCCGUGCUGCUUCCUGAUCGCACACAUAUGACAUCUGUAACGCCCCCUUCGGGUUUUACACAGUCUUUUUGUACUUAUACUUUGUCUUUGUGUACUUACACUUUGUCUUUGUGUACAGACACUUUGUCCUUACGUACAUACACUCUGUGUUUGUGUACUUA
Nerophis ophidion (straightnose pipefish) is the source of this 854-nucleotide long non-coding RNA. RefSeq lists it as uncharacterized. Lineage: Eukaryota; Metazoa; Chordata; Actinopteri; Syngnathiformes; Syngnathidae. The transcript has 2 exons. The record is from RefSeq and is a predicted model, not a curated record.